CGUCAUGGUUCUAUUUUGUUGGUUUCUAGGACCAUCGUAAUGAUUAAUAGGGACGGACGGGGGUAUCAGUAUUCAGUUGUCAGAGGUGAAAUUCUUGGAUUUACUGAAGACUAACUACUGCGAAAGCAUUUACCAAGCACGUUUUCAUUAAUCAAGAACGAAAGUUAGGGGAUCGAAGAUGAUCAGAUACCGUCGUAGUCUUAACCACAAACUAUGCCGACUAGGGAUCGGGUGUUGUUCUUUCAUUGACGCACUCGGCACCUUACGAGAAAUCAAAGUCUUUGGGUUCUGGGGAGAGUAUGGUCGCAAGGCUGAAACUUAAAGGAAUUGACGGAAGGGCACCACCAGGAGUGGAGCCUGCGGCUUAAUUUGACUCAACACGGGGAAACUCACCAGGUCCAGACACAAUAAGGAUUGACAGAUUGAGAGCUCUUUCUUGAUUUUGUGGGUGGUGGUGCAUGACCGUUCUUAGUUGGUGGAGUGAUUUGUCUGCUUAAUUGCGAUAACGAACGAGACCUUAACCUACUAAAUAGUGCUGCUAGCUUUUGCUGGUAUAGUCACUUCUUAGAGGGACUAUCGAUUUCAAGUCGAUGGAAGUUUGAGGCAAUAACAGGUCUGUGAUGCCCUUAGACGUUCUGGGCCGCACGCGCGCUACACUGACGGAGCCAGCGAGUUUAUACCUUGGCCGAGAGGUCUGGGA
RNAcentral lists this ribosomal RNA (700 nucleotides) under uncultured Candida. RNAcentral describes it as "SSU rRNA". It matches the Rfam family "Eukaryotic small subunit ribosomal RNA", at positions 826 to 1547 of the family's 1831-position model. Lineage: Eukaryota; Fungi; Ascomycota; Saccharomycetes; Saccharomycetales. The record is from RNAcentral.